Molecule: long non-coding RNA, 249 nt
Filed under: Callithrix jacchus (white-tufted-ear marmoset)
Lineage: Eukaryota; Metazoa; Chordata; Mammalia; Primates; Cebidae
Description: lncRNA (ENSCJAG00000055252.2)
Source: RNAcentral
GAGGUUAAGUAACUUGCCCAAGGUCACAUAGCCAAAUGCAGAAAUCCUGGUGGGAGCUGAAGUAGUCAUCAUGGUUCAGGAGAUGGAAGCCACCUUUUGAGAGAGCAGAAGAAAAAGACACAAGAAGUCAAACUCCACAGAAUCAUGGUGCCACCUUACCAGCCCUGGACUCCUAUAUUGAAGCUAUUCAAAAAACAUUUUUAGGCUCCUCCCGCGAAUCGCAGCCCCUGGGACUAGGGUUGCUCCAUC